CUAUACCCUUUGUGACAUACCUAUAACUGUUGCUUCGGCGGGUAGGGUCUCCGCGACCCUCCCGGCCUCCCGCCUCCGGGCGGGUCGGCGCCCGCCGGAGGAUAACCAAACUCUGAUUUAACGACGUUUCUUCUGAGUGGUACAAGCAAAUAAUCAAAACUUUUAACAACGGAUCUCUUGGUUCUGGCAUCGAUGAAGAACGCAGCGAAAUGCGAUAAGUAAUGUGAAUUGCAGAAUUCAGUGAAUCAUCGAAUCUUUGAACGCACAUUGCGCCCGCCAGCAUUCUGGCGGGCAUGCCUGUUCGAGCGUCAUUUCAACCCUCAAGCUCUGCUUGGUGUUGGGGCCCUACAGCUGAUGUAGGCCCUCAAAGGUAGUGGCGGACCCUCCCGGAGCCUCCUUUGCGUAGUAACUUUACGUCUCGCACUGGGAUCCGGAGGGACUCUUGCCGUAAAACCCCCCAAUUUUCCAAAGGUUGACCUCGGAUCAGGUAGGAAUACCCGCUGAACUUAAGCAUAUCAAUAAGCGGAGGAA
RNAcentral lists this ribosomal RNA (531 nucleotides) under Colletotrichum fructicola. RNAcentral's name for it is "eukaryotic LSU rRNA". The stretch from base 158 to 311 matches the Rfam family "5.8S ribosomal RNA". Lineage: Eukaryota; Fungi; Ascomycota; Sordariomycetes; Glomerellales; Glomerellaceae. The record is from RNAcentral.